RNAcentral lists this ribosomal RNA (460 nucleotides) under uncultured bacterium. RNAcentral describes it as "partial 16S ribosomal RNA". It matches the Rfam family "Bacterial small subunit ribosomal RNA", at positions 338 to 795 of the family's 1533-position model. The record is from RNAcentral.
CCUACGGGUGGCAGCAGUGAGGAAUAUUGGUCAAUGGACGAGAGUCUGAACCAGCCAAGUCGCGUGAAGGAUGACUGCCCUAUGGGUUGUAAACUUCUUUUAUAUGGGAAUAAAAUGUUCCACGUGUGGGUUUUUGUAUGUACCAUAUGAAUAAGGAUCGGCUAACUCCGUGCCAGCAGCCGCGGUAAUACGGAGGAUCCGAGCGUUAUCCGGAUUUAUUGGGUUUAAAGGGUGCGUAGGUGGAUUGUUAAGUCAGGUGUGAAAGUUUUGGGCUCAACCGUAAAAUUGCAGUUGAAACUGGAAGUCUUGAGUACAGGAGAGGUAUGCGGAAGUCGUGGUGUAGCGGUGAAAUGCUUAGAUAUCACGAAGAACUCCGAUUGCGAAGGCAGUUCACUGGACUGCAACUGACACUGAGGCACGAAAGUGUGGGUAUCAAACAGGAUUAGAUACCCUUGUAGUC